Long non-coding RNA from Sparus aurata (gilthead seabream), 2587 nucleotides. The record is from Ensembl. Lineage: Eukaryota; Metazoa; Chordata; Actinopteri; Spariformes; Sparidae.
GAUAACAGGAAGUGCUAACAGCUGAUUCAGCAAAGUCUAAACUUAGUUUUGGAGAAUUCUAUUAUGUUUCUUUGGUUGUUUCUCUGUUUUAAAUCAAUCAGGGGGAGGAGGAUUUUAUAUCCUCAGGAGGAGAGGAGGACUUUAUAUCAUCAGCAGGAGGAGAGGAGGACUUUAUAUCAUCAGGAGGAGAGGAGGACUUUAUAUCAUCAGGAGGAGAGGAGGACUUUAUAUCAUCAGGAGGAGAGGAGGACUUUAUAUCAUCAGGAGGAGAGGACUUUAUAUCAUCAGGAGGAGGAGAGGAGGACUUUAUAUCAUCAGGAGGAGGAGAGGAGGACUUUAUAUCAUCAGGAGGAGGAGAGGAGGACUUUAUAUCAUCAGGAGGAGGAGAGGAGGACUUUAUAUCACCAGGAGGAGGAGAGGAGGACUUUAUAUCAUCAGGAGGAGGAGAGGAGGACUUUAUAUCAUCAGGAGGAGGAGAGGAGGACUUUAUAUCCUCAGGAGGGAGAGGAGGACUUUAUAUCCAUCAGGAGGAGGAGAGGAGGACUUUAUAUCCUCAGGAGGAGAGGAGGACUUUAUAUCAUCAGGAGGAGGAGAGGAGGACUUUAUAUCAUCAGGAGGAGAGGAGGACUUUAUAUCAUCAGGAGGAGAGGAGGACUUUACAUCAUCAGGAGGAGGAGAGGAGGACUUUAUAUCAUCAGGAGGAGGAGAGGAGGACUUUAUAUCAUCAGGAGGAGGAGAGGGAGGACUUUAUAUCAUCAGGAGGAGGAGAGGAGGACUUUAUAUCAUCAGGAGGAGAGGAGGACUUUAUAUCAUCAGGAGGAGGAGAGGAGGACUUUAUAUCAUCAGGAGCAGAGGAGGACUUUAUAUCAUCAGGAGGAGGAGAGGAGGACUUUAUAUCAUCAGGGAGGAGGAGAGGAGGACUUUAUAUCAUCAGGAGGAGGAGAGGAGGACUUUAUAUCAUCAGGAGGAGGAGAGGAGGACUUUAUAUCGUCAGGAGGAGGAGAGGAGGACUUUAUAUCAUCAGGAGGAGGAGAGGAGGACUUUAUAUCAUCAGGGAGGAGGAGAGGAGGACUUUAUAUCAUCGGGAGGAGGAGAGGAGGACUUUAUAUCAUCAGGAGGAGAGGAGGACUUUAUAUCAUCAGGAGGAGAGGAGGACUUAUAUCAUCAGGAGGACUUUAUAUCAUCAGGAGGAGAGGAGGACUUUAUAUCAUCAGGAGGAGGAGAGGAGGACUUAUAUCAUCAGGAGGAGGAGAGGAGGACUUUAUAUCAUCAGGAGGAGGAGAGGAGGACUUUAUAUCAUCAGGAGGAGGAGAGGAGGACUUUAUAUCAUCAGGAGGAGAGGAGGACUUUAUAUCAUCAGGGAGGAUGAGAGGAGGACUUUAUAUCAUCAGGAGGAGGAGAGGAGGACUUUAUAUCAUCAUGAGGGAGAGAGGACUUAUAUCAUCAGGAGGAGGAGAGGAGGACUUUAUAUCAUCAGGAGGAGGAGAGGAGGACUUUAUAAUCAUCAGGAGGAGGAGAGGAGGACUUUAUAUCAGCAGGAGGAGAGGAGGACUUUAUAUCAUCAGGAGGAGGAGAGGAGGACUUUAUAUCAUCAGGAGGAGAGGAGGACUUUAUAUCAUCAGAGGAGAGGAGGAGGACUUUAUAUCAUCAGGAGGAGGAGAGGAGGACUUUAUAUCAUCGGGAGGAGGAGAGGAGACUUUAUAUCAUCAGGAGGAGGAGAGGAGGACUUUAUAUCAUCAGGAGGAGAGGAGGACUUUAUAUCAUCGGGAGGAGGAGAGGAGGACUUUAUAUCAUCAGGAGAGGAGAGGAGGACUUUAUAUCAUCGGAGGAGGAGAGGAGGACUUUAUAUCAUCAGGAGGAGCAGAGGAGGACUUUAUAUCAUCAGGAGGAGGAGAGGAGGACUUUAUAUCAUCAGGAGGAGAGGACAGGAGAGGAGGAGGGACUUUAUAUCAUCAGGAGGAGAGGAGGACUUUAUAUCAUCAGGAGGAGGAGAGGAGGACUUUAUAUCAUCAGGAGGAGAGAGGAGGACUUAUAUCAUCAGGAGGAGAGAAGGAGGACUUUAUAUCAUCAGGAGGAGGAGAGGAGGACUUUAUAUCAUCAGGAGGAGGAGAGGAGGACUUUAUAUCAUCAGGAGGAGGAGAGGAGACUUUAUAUCAUCAGGAGGAGGAGAGGAGGACUUUAUAUCAUCAGGAGGAGGAGAGGAGGACUUUAUAUCAUCAGGAGGAGGAGAGGAGGACUUUAUAUCAUCAGGAGGAGGAGAGGAGGACUUUAUAUCAUCAGGAGGAGGAGAGGAGGACUUUAUAUCAUCAGGAGGAGGAGAGGAGGACUUUAUAUCAUCAGGAGGAGGAGAGGAGGACUUUAUAUCACUCAGGAGGAGGAGAGGACAGAGGAGGGCAGAGGAGGACUUUAUAUCAUCAGGAGGAGGAGAGGAGAGGAGGACUUAUAUCAUCAGGAGGAGGAGAGGAGGACUUUAUAUCAUCAGGAGGAGGAGAGGAGGACUUUAUAUCAUCAGGAGGAGAGGACUUUGAGGUUAAUAUAUUUGGGUGAAAUACUCUUUUACAGGAGUUUCUUGAAGCUAAAUUACAAA